CAUAGCAGUGGUAGAGGAAGCGAAAGCGGACGACCUUCGGGAGCUGUUACAGGUGUUGCAUGGCUGUCGUCAGCUCGUGUCGUGAGAUGUUCGGUUAAGUCCGCUAACGAGCGCAACCCGCGUUGUGUGUUACAAGUGUCACACAAUACCGCCGGUAUUAAGUCGGAGGAAGGUGCGGAUGACGUCAAGUCAGCAUGACCUUUAUAUCCAGGGCUACACACACGCUACAAUGGUCGGCACAAUAGGUUGCCAAGUCGUGAGACGGAGCCAAUCCUCCAAAGCCGGCCUCAGUUCAGAUUGCAGGCUGCAACUCGCCUGCAUGAAGUUGGAGUUGCUAGUAAACGCAGGUCAGCUAUACUGCGUUGAAUACGUUCCCGGGGAUU
RNAcentral lists this ribosomal RNA (383 nucleotides) under uncultured Anaerolineaceae bacterium. RNAcentral describes it as "bacterial SSU rRNA". It matches the Rfam family "Bacterial small subunit ribosomal RNA", at positions 985 to 1378 of the family's 1533-position model. The record is from RNAcentral. Lineage: Bacteria; Bacillati; Chloroflexota; Anaerolineae; Anaerolineales; Anaerolineaceae.